AGAUUUAAAAAUUUCCGCGGGCA
RNAcentral lists this transfer RNA (23 nucleotides) under Centroscyllium fabricii (black dogfish). RNAcentral's name for it is "partial tRNA-Phe". RNAcentral also lists the same sequence under 4 other names. Lineage: Eukaryota; Metazoa; Chordata; Chondrichthyes; Squaliformes; Etmopteridae. The record is from RNAcentral.